CACAGGCCGCGUUUCUUCCGGUCCACGGAAAGCUCUAAAACUCUCGACACCUGCCAGGUGACUGAGGCGAGCUACAUGGAAUUAACGAUCCACAGAUUCACAGAUGCAUGAUGGGACAGACAGACACACACCACCCGAUUGGCUGGCUGAGGACAAAAGGACCAAGCGACUGCUGUUGUGGUGAUCAGACUCCUUUAAAGAGAGUGAUGGCCCAGAUGAAUCCUCUGGACCAGGAAACAUUGAAUCAGUGAUUCAUGGCGCUGGUUCCCUCGCCGUGGUCUCUGGUGUCCUCUGGUGGCUGAAUAAGGGAAGUGCAGCUCAGUCUACAAGCAGAAUAAGGCUUCUUCCUAAUCUCUGCCGGCUCUACAAAGCUGAAUUAUCAGCUUCUAA
This is a long non-coding RNA of Fundulus heteroclitus (mummichog), 390 nucleotides long. RefSeq lists it as uncharacterized. The record is from RefSeq and is a predicted model, not a curated record. The transcript has 3 exons. NCBI's taxonomy places the organism in Eukaryota, Metazoa, Chordata, Actinopteri, Cyprinodontiformes, Fundulidae.